This 499-nucleotide ribosomal RNA is filed under the name uncultured bacterium. RNAcentral's name for it is "partial 16S ribosomal RNA". It matches the Rfam family "Bacterial small subunit ribosomal RNA", at positions 28 to 507 of the family's 1533-position model. The record is from RNAcentral.
GACGAACGCUGGCGGCGUGCCUAAUACAUGCAAGUCGAGCGAAGUUUUUCUGGUGCUUGCACCGGAAAAACUUAGCGGCGAACGGGUGAGUAACACGUAAAGAACCUGCCUCAUAGACUGGGACAACUACUGGAAACGAUAGCUAAUACCGGAUAACAGCAUUAACUGCAUGGUUGAUGUUUAAAAGUUGGUUUUGCUAACACUAUGAGAUGGCUUUGCGGUGCAUUAGCUAGUUGGUGGGGUAAAGGCCUACCAAGGCGACGAUGCAUAGCCGACCUGAGAGGGUGAUCGGCCACACUGGGACUGAGACACGGCCCAGACUCCUACGGGAGGCAGCAGUAGGGAAUCUUCCGCAAUGGGCGAAAGCCUGACGGAGCAACGCCGCGUGAGUGAAGAAGGAUUUCGGUUCGUAAAGCUCUGUUGUUAGGGAAGAAUGAUUGUGUAGUAACUAUACACAGUAGAGACGGUACCUAACCAGAAAGCCACGGCUAACUACGUG